ACGAAGGGAGCUAGCGUUGUUCGGAAUCACUGGGCGUAAAGCGCACGUAGGCGGAUUGUUUAGUCGGGGGUGAAAUCCCGGGGCUCAACCCCGGAACUGCCUCCGAUACUGGCAAUCUGGAGUCCGGAAGAGGUGGGUGGAAUUCCUAGUGUAGAGGUGAAAUUCUUAGAUAUUAGGAAGAACACCGGUGGCGAAGGCGGCCCACUGGUCCGGUACUGACGCUGAGGUGCGAAAGCGUGGGGAGCAAACAGG
Molecule: ribosomal RNA, 252 nt
Filed under: uncultured bacterium
Lineage: Bacteria
Description: partial 16S ribosomal RNA
Rfam family: Bacterial small subunit ribosomal RNA
Source: RNAcentral